RNAcentral lists this ribosomal RNA (433 nucleotides) under uncultured bacterium. RNAcentral's name for it is "partial 16S ribosomal RNA". It matches the Rfam family "Bacterial small subunit ribosomal RNA", at positions 29 to 507 of the family's 1533-position model. The record is from RNAcentral.
AACGAACGCUGGCGGCAGGCCUAACACAUGCAAGUCGAGCGGACCCUUCGGGGUUAGCGGCGGACGGGUGAGUAACGCGUGGGAACGUGCCCUUUGCUUCGGAAUAGCCCUGGGAAACUGGGAGUAAUACCGGAUACGCCCUUUUGGGGAAAGAUUUAUCGGCGAAGGAUCGGCCCGCGUUGGAUUAGGUAGUUGGUGGGGUAAUGGCCUACCAAGCCGACGAUCCAUAGCUGGUUUGAGAGGAUGAUCAGCCACACUGGGACUGAGACACGGCCCAGACUCCUACGGGAGGCAGCAGUGGGGAAUCUUAGACAAUGGGGGAAACCCUGAUCGAGCCAUGCCGCGUGAGCGAUGAAGGCCUUAGGGUUGUAAAGCUCUUUCAACGGGGAAGAUAAUGACGGUACCCGGAGAAGAAGCCCCGGCUAACUCCGUG